This 914-nucleotide ribosomal RNA is filed under the name uncultured archaeon. RNAcentral's name for it is "bacterial SSU rRNA". It matches the Rfam family "Archaeal small subunit ribosomal RNA", at positions 4 to 922 of the family's 1478-position model. The record is from RNAcentral.
CUGGUUGAUCCUGCCAGAGGCUACUGCUAUCGGGGUCCGACUAAGCCAUGCGAGUUGAGAGGGGUAAGCCCUCGGCAUAUUGCUCAGUAACACGCGGAUAACCUGCCCUUGGGUCCGGGAUAACCCCGGGAAACUGGGACUAAUACCGGAUAGAUCAAGGAUACUGGAAUGUUCUCUGGUCCAAAACUCCGGUGCCCAAGGAUGGGUCUGCGGCCUAUCAGGUUGUAGUGGGUGUAACGUACCUACUAGCCUACGACGGGUAAGGGUUGUGAGAGCAAGAGCCCUGAGAUGGAUUCUGAGACAUGAAUCCAGGCCCUACGGGGUGCAGCAGGCGCGAAAACUUUACACUGCGGGAAACCGCGAUAAGGGGACCCCGAGUGCCAGUACCUAGUGCUGGCUGUCCCGCUGUCCAAACAACAGUGGUUAGCAAGGGCCGGGCAAGACCGGUGCCAGCCGCCGCGGUAACGCCGGCGGCCCGAGUGGUAGCCGUUAUUAUUGGGUUUAAAGGGUCCGUAGCCGGCUUAUUAAGUCUCUUGGGAAAUCUGGCGGCUUAAUCGUCAGGCGUCCAAGAGAUACUGAUAGGCUUGGGACCGGGAGAGGUGGGAGGUACUCCAGGGGUAGGGGUGAAAUCUCGUAAUCCUUGGGGGACCACCGAUGGCGAAGGCAUCCCACCAGAACGGGUCCGACGGUGAGGGACGAAAGCUGGGGGCACGAACCGGAUUAGAUACCCGGGUAGUCCCAGCUGUAAACGAUGCUCGCUAGGUGUCAGGUGCGGUGCGACCGCAUCUGGUGCCGUAGGGAAGCCGUGAAGCGAGCCACCUGGGAAGUACGGCCGCAAGGCUGAAACUUAAAGGAAUUGGCGGGGGAGCACUACAACGGGUGGAGCCUGCGGUUCAAUUGGAUUCAACGCCGGG